GCCUCCGGAUAUCACUUUAGUGGGAGCAAGCGUACGCCAAGAAGUCAUCAGUAAGCAUACCACGGAAGUCAAAAAGGAUGAUGAGGCACUUGGCAGGGCUGGAAGAGCCCUCGAAGUUCUAGGACAGCUGCUGCAAGGCAAGGAAACGCUGGAAGACACAAACGACAAGGUCGGGGAUGUCGUGUCUGCUUUGCAGCAGUUUAAUGCCUCACAGGACGGCCUCGACGGUGCCACAUCCGAGUACUUCUGGAAGAAGAUCAGGCGGGCAGUUGAAAACGUAGCGAAAGUCGUCGCAAUCAACAAGGCCGUUGGCAUUGUCGCCGGUGCGCUUGGUUAGAAUGCUUUUUAGAGAAGCGAAAAAAAAGGGCUGCUUUCGCACUUCCAUGUUCUACACUGUAAUAAACAAUAGGGAGUUCCUUGUUAUUAUGCAUUCUUUCUGUCUCGCUUAAUUUUUCAGGUGACGUUAGUGUCAACGAUAAGUUUACAGAGUUCACAAAACAGACUAUUAAGAAUAUCAGAGGGGCGAGCUUUCCGAGAGUGCAGCCCCACGCAACUGUUAUGGUUGCGUGUGGUUUAUCUCGAUAUUAUUUCGCGUGCAUGCUAAAUUGAAUGGACGCACAAUACAACGAGCAUUCAGGCAGAGGCUCAGCAUGCCCUUGAAGCUAGAGUAGAUUAAUAAUUUUUUCCGUUCUUGUUCAUGCACAUGCUGCCUACGCACCAUCACUGCGCAUACGGCAUAUGGGCACUCUGCCUAUUACGAAAGUAUCUUUCAUGACGCCUAGAGGAGACAAUGCCAUAAAGGAGAAUAUUCAAUGAUUCAUGUUUUUU
This is a long non-coding RNA of Dermacentor silvarum, 828 nucleotides long. RefSeq lists it as uncharacterized. The transcript is spliced from 3 exons. The record is from RefSeq and is a predicted model, not a curated record. Lineage: Eukaryota; Metazoa; Arthropoda; Arachnida; Ixodida; Ixodidae.